RNAcentral lists this ribosomal RNA (301 nucleotides) under uncultured bacterium. Its description in RNAcentral is "partial 16S ribosomal RNA". It matches the Rfam family "Bacterial small subunit ribosomal RNA", at positions 509 to 807 of the family's 1533-position model. The record is from RNAcentral.
CAGCCGCCGCGGUAAUACGAAGGGGGCUAGCGUUGUUCGGAUUUACUGGGCGUAAAGCGCACGUAGGCGGACUUUUAAGUCAGGGGUGAAAUCCCGGGGCUCAACCCCGGAACUGCCUUUGAUACUGGGAGUCUUGAGUUCGAGAGAGGUGAGUGGAAUUGCGAGUGUAGAGGUGAAAUUCGUAGAUAUUCGCAGGAACACCAGUGGCGAAGGCGGCUCGCUGGCUCGAUACUGACGCUGAGGUGCGAAAGCGUGGGGAGCAAACAGGAUUAGAUACCCGGGUAGUCCCUGUCUCUUAUAC